UGGGGAAUAUUGCACAAUGGGGGAAACCCUGAUGCAGCGACGCCGCGUGAGCGAAGAAGGUUUUCGAAUCGUAAAGCUCUGUCCUAUGAGAAGAUAAUGACGGUAUCAUAGGAGGAAGCCCCGGCUAAACACGUGCCAGCAGCCGCGGUAAUACGUAUGGGGCGAGCGUUGUCCGGAAUUAUUGGGCGUAAAGGGUACGUAGGCGGUCUAUUAAGUCAGGUGUGAAAGCGUGAGGCUUAACCUCAUUAAGCACUUGAAACUGAUAGACUUGAGUGAAGGAGAGGAAAGUGGAAUUCCUAGUGUAGCGGUGAAAUGCGUAGAUAUUAGGAGGAAUACCGGUGGCGAAGGCGGCUUUCUGGGCUUUUACUGACGCUCAGGUACGAAAGCGUGGGGAGCAAACAGG
Molecule: ribosomal RNA, 403 nt
Filed under: Verrucomicrobiota bacterium
Lineage: Bacteria; Pseudomonadati; Verrucomicrobiota
Description: Verrucomicrobia bacterium partial 16S ribosomal RNA
Rfam family: Bacterial small subunit ribosomal RNA
Source: RNAcentral